Long non-coding RNA from Trifolium pratense (red clover), 843 nucleotides. RefSeq lists it as uncharacterized. Lineage: Eukaryota; Viridiplantae; Streptophyta; Magnoliopsida; Fabales; Fabaceae. The transcript is spliced from 3 exons. The record is from RefSeq and is a predicted model, not a curated record.
AUAAUUUAUCUUUGUGUUUAAUGGUUAACACUUAACAAGGUUCCUCUUUAUGGUUGAUUUUUAUGCCUUUAUUAUGAUUAUUAGAAUUUAAUUUGUUGUUCUGAAUUCUGAACAAUGGCCAUGAUCCUUAGCUUAGCUAUUAAGUAGAAGGUUUAGGAUAAAUUGGAAACUCACUCAUCUUUCUUCCAUGGCCGAACCACACACUCCACCAUCACUAUACAUCACUCAAAAUUCAUCUCUCCACCAUUUUCAUCCUUUCGAAGCUUGUUUGAAAGCUAGGAGUUGUGAGCUUCCUCUUCUAAGGUUGCUACAUGUUAAGUUGACACUGCUUUAUGUAAGAUUUGCUUCAAGUUUUGGGACUGGUUUAUGCAACAUAUUUUGGGUACAGCCUAACAGCAAUGACUGUAGAUAUUAUGUAAUGAAGAAUAUGAUUGACAUUGUCUCAGCUAGUAUUACAAAGAAUUGAUGGAGGUGUUCGAUGAUCCCACGUCAUUAACAAAGGAGGAGCUGUAUGAAUUGCGAAACAGCUGGGCAAAUUGUUUUCUUGACCUAUAUAAUCCCGAGGUAGAUUAUGAUGCCGAUGACGAGGCUUAGGAGCUAGCUAGGUUAAUUUGUGUGAUGUUACAAUGGAUUCAUAUUAAUUAUGAUGUUUUGAAUUGUAAUGACUUAGUAUUUUGCUUGAAUGUUGAAUUAACAUUUUGGAUGAAUGUUGAGAUAUUGUAUGACAUUUGGUAUUUUGGAUGAUGUUGAAUUUUAAUGACAUUUGAUCAUAUUAUGUAAUUGUAUUUUGGUUGAAUGUUGAAUUGUAAUGCUAUUUUAGUUUUUUUUAAUUACAAAAUAGGA